CGGAGCUCAAUGGUUUGAAAUAGUUGAUUGUGAUGAACUAAGAUAUUUACCUGGUGAAUCUCAUUGCUUCACAUCUCUUCAUUUUUUGAGGAUAUGGAAUUGUGAGAAGCCGGCAUCCAUCCAUUCCAAGCAUAAAACGCUGCACAGCUCUGGUGGAAUUGGAAACAUGGAACUGCCCUGAGUUGAUCUCAAUUCCCAGUGAUUUCUUAGAAUUUAAAAUUUUUAGAGUUCUACCAAGAGGACUACAAUGUUGUGCAUCUCUAGAGGGAUUUUCAAUAAUAAAUUGCAAAGGGCUUAUCCAAUUUAAUGACGCUGAUUUACAGGAUUGUCCUUGCUUCGUUAUCCGUUGUACCAUGUGAUAAGCUCGUCAGUAGGGGCGGAACUAGAAAGUUGUAGUGAGAGAGAGCAAAUAUUUUAUUUUUGAAA
Populus euphratica (Euphrates poplar) is the source of this 426-nucleotide long non-coding RNA. RefSeq lists it as uncharacterized. The transcript is spliced from 2 exons. NCBI's taxonomy places the organism in Eukaryota, Viridiplantae, Streptophyta, Magnoliopsida, Malpighiales, Salicaceae. The record is from RefSeq and is a predicted model, not a curated record.